CCUUUGUUCUGAAAACUGCCCCUUCCCGCUGCUGCAACCCAUACCUUCUCAAAUAGCCAAUCGGAAUCGCCCUAGAUUUCGCAACCCCAGCCUUUGAGGGAAAGACCCCAGCCCUCCUUCGUUAGGUGUGCCCUUUCUCUUCCGACUCUCGCAGGCUCGGGCAGCAGCAUUCUGCAGCAGUAAAGUUUGCUUUGCAUAACUUUUCUCCGGAGUGCCGAUCUCUGCGGCACCGAGAACUUAUUUCUAACAAUUCGGAGGCUCGUUAGGGAUUCCCUUUCUCCUCUGGGGAGAAGUCCCUGAUCAUCUCGUGAGGAGACCGUCCCACUGCCUUGUUGCAGUGGCCCCAGGAGCACGGGGAUCGAGACUUCCCCCAGUGUGAGGAAUAAACCCAGACUUCCAGCAACGCGGGCGGAAAGGAUCCUCUGGACGAAGGACCAAAGGUCUUUUAGCACAGACGCCACCACUGGAGUUCCCAGUGCACCGGUACCAGCCUGGAACUUACGUCCUCAUUAAGAGUUGGAAGGAGGAAAACUCAACCGGCUUGGGAGGGACGCUAUCUAGUGCUUCUAACUACCGAGACCACAGGCCGAACCACAGAAGGAGGGUGGACUCAUCAUAUCUGAAUCAAGAACACGCUGCUACCUUCAAAAUCAUGUUUUGUUCCAGGAUCAAGUCCCCUGAAACUAAAGCUAAGAAAAGCCUAACCUUAUAUUUCUUAUAUUGUCUCUUCUUCUUCCCUCAUUCUGCUGUCAGCGUGAUUAGAACCCAAUGUUGCUCUUUGAUCCCUGAUAAUACUGGCCCCAACGGAACCAUAACUAAAGCGCUAGAAGGUCUAACUGGUUUAUCCAAUGAGCUAGACAAAAACUCUGGAAUAGACGACCCUUUCACUAGUUUAAUGGAGAGAUGGUUUGGCGAAUGGAAAGUACUCGGGGCGUCUAUUCUCAUUUCCCUUGCAGUUGUAGUAGGUGUGCUCAUUCUCAUAGGGUGUUGUUUGAUGCCUUGUGUCCGUGGAUUAGUUCGAAAGCUCAUAGCAACAGCUCUUUCCAAAACCUCUCGAAGCUCUCCCCUACCCUAUUCAGGUAAACUUUUACUUCCAAAUCAGCAAGAAGAGAAGAAAAGCCAUGUCCUGGUAAAAGUAUUUGAAGAGGAAGAAUUACAAAAUCAAAAGGGGAAAAAUUGUUAGAAUGAGUUCCUCUUCAGAAAUCUAACUUCCUUAUCCUUGGUUCUGUAAACUGCCCUUAUUUGAAAUAGUGCUUAGAUUGUGCAGUCCAACCCCAGCCAAUGGGGGAAAGACAGAAGUAGGAACCGCGUUAGGGUAAAAAACCCUGCUCUCCUUUGUUAGAUGUGCUCUCACGACGGUUACAGGUGCGGGCAGCACCCUUCUGUAGAAGUAAACUUUGUUGAGAAACUUUU
Long non-coding RNA from Saimiri boliviensis boliviensis (Bolivian squirrel monkey), 1413 nucleotides. RefSeq lists it as uncharacterized. The record is from RefSeq and is a predicted model, not a curated record. NCBI's taxonomy places the organism in Eukaryota, Metazoa, Chordata, Mammalia, Primates, Cebidae.